UCACUGCUGGUAAUCAACUUUCACAAGACUCAGCUGGGGUUUCUCAGCUCUCUGCUGAGCUAAACAAGGCACUCCUCUUCCUCUUGUUUGCACGGAUCAUUGACUUCUUUCUCAACUGGCUGCCAUUGGGACAAAUCCUCCUCAGUGGACCCGUCGGUUAUAUCCAGUCCUCACCAGCCUCAAUUUACGACCUUGAGCAGCCACUCAGCCCCUGUUGAGCUGGUAACUGCAGGACCCAUGCAAGCGCUGUGAACUCAGAAAAAAGGACAGGCAACGUUACAACCACAACGAGAAUACAGAUACAAUGUCUGUCCUAUGGUCAAUGCAAACUGCUGUGUGGGGGUAGACUGUGGCAGCCCAGGGGUCAGCACUCACCCCCUCCCUUUGAGAAAAAACUGAGCCUUGCCUGAGCACGCAGCAGCCUGCAUGACAGAGCAGACACUGAAGGUCACUGAGACUUAUCACUGUUAGUAAUCAACUUUCAUCAGACUUAGCUGAGGCUCCUUUGUAACCAAAUAUAGUGAGGCUCUGCUGAGCUAUAGAAAGCACUCCUCUUCCUGUUGUUUGCAUGGGAUCGACUUCCUCUCCCAGCUGCCACUGGGAAAAAUUGUCCUGUAAGUUCCUAUUAA
Long non-coding RNA from Choloepus didactylus (southern two-toed sloth), 629 nucleotides. RefSeq lists it as uncharacterized. NCBI's taxonomy places the organism in Eukaryota, Metazoa, Chordata, Mammalia, Pilosa, Megalonychidae. The record is from RefSeq and is a predicted model, not a curated record. The transcript is spliced from 3 exons.